RNAcentral lists this long non-coding RNA (9052 nucleotides) under Sorghum bicolor (sorghum). Its description in RNAcentral is "long non-coding RNA (SBIC_LNC014634)". Lineage: Eukaryota; Viridiplantae; Streptophyta; Magnoliopsida; Poales; Poaceae. The record is from RNAcentral.
CAGUAGUGGAGGAUCAAAAUAACAAGAUUAUUAGAUAUAUUUACUAUUGUUAAAAAAUACUAUGAUUUAUUUAUCUGAGCCAUGCGACAUGCAAUCGUAGCCACGUAUGCUAGCACUUGAUAUAUCACAACUUGACUUCUAGGUUCCCUGAAAUUGUACUUAUGUUAAUUUAGUGUAAGAGAAAAAUAUUGUUCCUUCGCUAAAAAGUACUGCUCAAAUAGUGCUAAAUAAGAAUGAGUACGGUGCUCUAAAUGAAUAGCUACGGUUCUUCUUAUAGUCUAAUUUAAUAAACUAAAAAUAGAUAAUUUCUUUCUCAUUUUUCCAUUUAGUUUAUUUAGUUAGACUAGAGAAGAACUGCGAGUACAUAUUUGAAAGGUCAUCCCUAUCCUUAAUGGUAAAGAACAGGCUGUGUUAAACCCUAACGUCGGGCUUAAGGUGCAUGAUUAUCAACUUGCUAUGGCAACUACCUGCUGUUUUUUUAUGCUUCCUAAUGUCAAAGACUUAGUGCUCGUUCCAGCAUUGCAAUCGAUAAAAAAAACCUACAAUUGUUUUGGAGUACUUCUGAAAAGAGAAAAAAAAAUCCAAAUACUCCGAGGCCCCAAGGCGCAACCGCGACCCGACCAAAGAGCAGUCUGCGGUGACCAGACCGGAGGCGGAGGAGCGCGGUGGCCUGUGACUCUGUGAGUGAGGCCCCACCCACGCAGCGAACGGCAGCACUUAACCAUGCGUUACCUGCUGUUACCGCCGCUACCCCGAUAUUAUCAGGCCUUGUUUAGUUUAUAAAAAACAAAAAAUUCUAAAAUUUUCUAUCACAUCAAAUCUUGCGACAUAGAGAAUUAAAUAUAAAUAAAAAAUAAUUAUUAUACAGUUUAUCUAAAAGUUAUAAAAUAAAUAUUUUAAACUUAAUUAAUUUAUAAUUAUAUAAUAAUUACCAAAUUAAAACAAAAAUGCUCCACUGCCAAAAACUCAAAACCUCACUCCAGCAUAGCAGCGCCCACCGCCCAGCGCCCCAGGAACGCCGCCCUCCCUGGGCCGUGGGCCCCUUGGCUCUUUCUCGCGCUCGCCUUGCGAUGGUGGGCGGGAUCCGCUGCUCCGCCACGCGCGCUGUUACGGAUAUUUUCCGGGGUGAUCUCAUCUCCUCGGAUUUCCUUUACGGGAGAUCUAUCCUAACUACGACUUCCCCCACGACGGCCUACGGGAUAUCACCCACGACUACGCACGUAUCCGUGGAGACCGGUUCCACCUCCGUGAUAUCACCCACGACUCAUCGUGGGCACGAGUUUACUUGGGGCGAGAGUUUCCUCUCCCCCCCCCGACUGUAUAAAUACUCGUGAUCAAUGAAUAAACAAACACUCUGAGUUCAUUCUAUUCCUCUCUGUUCUCGUACUCUCGCAUUCUACUCGUAACACGUUAUCAGCACAUCGCUCUCCCCUGCCCCAGAGGUGAUAGCUCGGUUGGAUAGAACAUCGUCGAGGGAUCGACCUUCGCCCAGGGCAUCACCCCAAGGUAGAAUCAUGCCUUUCCCUCGCCGUAAUCCUGCCUCAAUGGCUUCUCUCAUCCUCCAAAUCGUCUGGAUGGCGAUGAACCGUGCCCGGACAUUGGGCACACACUUCGGCAACAACCGCCUUCAGGCGGAACUACUGGAGGACAUCCGGGAACUCCUUGGCGAGGCUCGCGGCUAUCGCUUUCGUGGCGAACGCCGUGAUCUCAACAGGAACCCCGGGCGUUUUCCUGUACGACGUCGUUUCGGGGGAAACCGACAUGCAAACGUCGGCCCUCCGUCACGACGUUCGGUGGUGUCGUCCACGGCCUCGCCCGCGGCGCCAUCCGCGGCUCCGCCCGCGGCACCACCAUCGAGGCCACCAACUCCACCGGCGCCUCCAGCGCCGGUCCUCGCCUUGCCGGCUCCACCCCGGCCUCGGUGCCCGCUCCACGGCGACGGCCCGUGCCCACCACCGCCACCAUCCAUGGUGGCCAGCCAAUGGCUGUCACUGGGCAUAGAUCCGCAGUCGCCAAUUCGGUACCCGAUGCCGACGCCGUCUUCCGAGCAGGCUGCGCACAGCCCGCCUCCGCGCCGUCCGUCUCCACCGACCAUCGCAGCGCGGAUGUCGGCGCCGACUCGUCUGCCGGCGUACAUCGUCGAUCAGGCGCUCGCUGCACCACCACCACCGCCACCACCUCCUCCUGCGCGCCUCCGUCGCACGUGGAUCAGCGUCCCCCACGGGCCUUCGGCUCGGGGACGUGCUCCUCCUGCUUGAGUCGUCCAUGGGGGAGGGGGAGGAGGAGGCGGAAAUGCCCCUGGCCGCGGCCUCAACGCGGCGUCCGCCGACCCCCGCGCGGUCCGGCGCUCGGCCUCUCGACGAGCACGGUCGCCUCGACGCAACAACGCCCCGCAAGGCGACCUCGACGCGGCGGCCCGCCAGGCUGGGUUAGGCGCGGCCACGGCGCCUCGGCCUCGUCGCGGCGCGCGGCGCACGGUUCCCCGAGGCGAGCCCACGCCCGCCGCGGCACGGCGACCCGACGGCGCGGCCUCCGCUCGCGGCUCCCGCUCGCCCGCGGUGCUGCGCGGUCCCGGCGGCCCCCGACGGAGGCGAACUCCGUGGGCGUGCGCGCGACCCGGCCACGCUCGGCCUCGCGCGGCGUCCCGACCGCGCGGUCUGGCCACUCCUCUGUCGCGGCCCCACGCACGCGGAUCGAGGUGGGGCCUCGCGGACUCACGCGCAGGAGGCGCACCUCGGCGCCUGGCGGCGGCGGUUGGAGCCGCCCUGGCUCCUCUUGGCGGCGGCGUGUGAUGGGGCUGGGGGGUUAGGGUUUGGAAACCCUAGCCCCUGGCCUUAUAUAUGGCCCAUCUCCCCCUCCCCCAAUUGGGCCGAAUUGGCGGCCCAGGCCCAGGUUGGGGCCUGCGAGCUUUCAGCCUGGGCCACUUAUCAUUGGCUAUUUUAUUUUCUGAAUUAGCUAAUUUCUUUAUUUACAUAGCAUUUUUCAUUCCCUAAAUUACAUCAGUUUAUUAGUCUAACUUUCUUGUAAAUUUAGACACUGAUGUAUAUAUUGCAUUGUAAAUAUUUUUACAUUCCGCAAUCAUAUUAUGAAUGGAAAAUUUACAUGUCGAACGCGUUUUGUCUUUACAAUUCCCUAUCACAUGUAUAUAUGUAAAUAUUUUUAUGGUCAAUUUUUCUUCCUAUUUGGAAUAUUAUUUUUCACUAGAUGUCACCUUACUUUAUUAUUAUUUUGGCGACCACAAGGUAGUACUCAUACUACUGCGGGAUUUAUUCCUCAAAGUGCUCUCCCAAAUUUAAUAAUAAACAUACAAGGACUACAUCCCAAAGUGAAAAUAUAAAAUGGUCUACACCUCCAUGGUGACUACCUAUGUUCCACAAAAUGAGAAAUCAAAAUACCAUAAAACAUAUGCAAGUUUACCUUGCUACACAUAAACAAGUUUACCUUGUUAUUUACAUACGCAAUUUUACAUUGCUUUACAUACGCAAUUUUACAUUGCUUUACAUACGCAAUUUUACAUUGUUUUACAUAUGCAAUUUUACAUUGUUUUUAUAUACACAAUUUACAUUGUUAUAUAAAUAUGCAAUUACACUUUUGUUAAUUUUACAACCCCGAAAUUAAUUAAAUUUAUGCAAAUAAACAUGUAGGCAAUGGCCACCAAAGAGUCCGAUGCCCAAGUUUCUUCUAAGAAGGAAUUUGCCGAGCUAGCUCUUGAUGGACACAACUUCCCUACAUGGGCGAUGGAUCUCAAAGUGAGUCUAUCGUUACGCGGAAUGUAUAGGGCAAUUGACACUCCCAAACAGGGAGAUGCUCCAUUGUCUGAACCAUCCAAGUACCAUGCCUUAUACAUAAUAAGGAACCACAUCCAUUCAGAUCUCAAAGCUGAAUAUCUGAUGGAAGAGGACCCACGGGUUCUCUGGCUUGCUUUGCAACAGCGGUAUGAGCAACAAAAGGCAGUUAUUCUCCCGGAGGCCACUCAUGAGUGGAACCACCUCCGCAUUCAAGAUUUCAAAUAUGUGAAUGAAUAUAACCACGCCAUGCACAAACUCAGUUCCAAACUGAGGUUUUGUGAAAAGGAGCCAUCUGAUGCGGAGAAAAUUGAAAAGACUUUGUCUACCAUGCUUCCCGCUCAAAUGAUCCUCCAACAGCAAUACCGUGAGAGGGGAUUCACAGUCUAUUCUGAUCUCAUUAAAACAUUACUUCAGGCUGAGAGGCACAAUGAGCUCCUCAUAUGGAACUCCAAUCAAGGCCCUGUCGGUGCCAAGCCCUUGCCCGAAGUACAUGCAAAUGCUCAGAAACAGACACCAAAGGAUGCCAACAAGAAUGGCAAUCCUAGAUCCUCCAAAGGCAAAAACAAGCGCAAGGGACCCCGUAAGCCUCGAGGUGCUAAGGGCAAAGGCAACAACUCUAAGUCAAAAGACAAGUCCUCAACUUGUACAAAGUGUGGUUGCUACAACCACCCGACUAAGAAAUGCCGCACCCCUAAGCACCUUGUGGAACUGUACUUGCAUUCCGUGGGACGAGGACGCUCCAACCAAGGACGCUCCAACCAAGGUGGACAACCGUCUGAAGCACACUUCAACGAUCUGGCAGCCCCAGGAUGUUCCAACCCCGCCCCAGCGGGACCGAGCAACACAAUGGCGCCUCUUCCACCCGAUGGCAUGGCAAAUGACUCCACCAACAACAUGAUCAUCGAAUACAAUUCUGAUGAUCUGUUCGGCGACUACAACUAGAUUGAUAGUCAUUUGAGAUUUUAGUUUCGUCAUUCGCCUUUGGGAUUGUAAUAAUUGACAAUUUGUUUUUUUUUUGCUGCACUCUGUUUGAUGUUCAUUGACUUAUGCACAAUUCAACAUCAAUAAAUGUUUAUAUUUCAUAUAUAUUCAUGUUGAGAAUUUCAUUCUCUUUUAUAUUCUCUAUUUUCAUAGAUUGUACGGGAGUCAAUCCGAUGGAUGAGGAAAUGUGCCUAGUGGACAGUGGCACCACUAACUCUAUACUCAGGGAAAUAAAAUAUUUCCAAACUCUCACAAAGAGCAAAGGAAAUGUUUUAACAAUCGCUGGACGCGAUGCAGUAAUAGCAGGCUCUGGUAGAGCCAUUAUUACGCUCCCUAUGGGUACAACGAUUACAAUCGAGGAUGCACUGCUGUAUCCUGAUUCAACUCGUACCUUAUUGAGUUAUAGAGAUAUCCGCAAAAAUGGGUAUCAUAUUGAAACCCAUCACCAAAAUAAUCAGGAGUUCCUCCUCAUUACAAAGGAUAACGGAUAUGGCAGAGAUACUCUCGAAAGAAUUCCCUCAACUUCGUCUGGAUUGUACUAUUCAUACAUAAAACCCGUACAACAUGUUGCGUACAAAGUAAUUUUUCAGAAUGUCAAUGCAUUCCAAACUUGGCAUGAUCGCCUUGGUCACCCUGGCAUAGGGAUGAUGAGAAAAAUUACUAGCAAUUCUGUUGGUCACUCGCUAACCAAUGCAAAGUUUCCCCAAUCCUCAGAUUAUACUUGCACCGCAUGUGCAACAGGGAAAUUAAUUUUGAGGCCCUCUUCCCUCAAAAUCAAAGUUGAACCACUCAACUUCCUUGAACGCAUUCAAGGGGACAUAUGUGGCCCGAUAAAUCCUUUAUCGAGACCGUUCAGGUACUUCAUGGUUCUAAUAGACGCAUCCACACGAUGGUCUCAUGUGUCUCUUCUAUCGACACGAAACCAUGCUUUUGCCAAAAUAAUUGCGCAAGUUAUCAAACUCAAAGCGCAACAUCCUGAACAUCAAAUAAAAUCCAUUAGGAUGGAUAACGCUGCUGAAUUUUCCUCUCGAGCCUUCAAUGACUAUUGCAUGGCCUUAGGAAUACAAGUACAGCAUUCUGUCCCAUAUGUCCACACACAAAAUGGGUUAGCCGAGUCUCUCAUCAAGAGAAUCAAGCUCAUUGCUAGACCGCUAUUGCAGAAUUGCAAUCUACCAACCUCAUGUUGGGGUCAUGCAGUCUUACACGCUGCUGAACUGAUUCAAUUGCGACCAACUGCAUACCAUGCGACGUCUCCAUUGCAACUAGUACAUGGAAAUCCCCCAAGCAUUUCCCAUCUGCGAAAGUUCGGUUGCGCUACAUACGUACCGAUCUCACCACCGAAGCGUACAACAAUGGGCCCCCAAAGAAAAUUGGGGAUCUAUGUGGGAUACAAAUCUCCGUCGAUUAUAAAGUAUCUGGAGCCCACCACAGGGGACCUCUUUACGGCCCGGUACGCUGAUUGUAUCUUCAAUGAAGAUCAUUUUCCGGCAUUAGGGGGAGACUUACCACAUCACAAACAAUGCCAGGAAAUCAAUUGGGAUGCCCCAGACAUACACAACUCAGAUCCACAUACUUCAGAAUCUGAACUCCAAGUUCAGAAAAUCAUAAAUUUGCAACACAUUGCAAACAACGUGCCAGACGCAUUUACUGAUUAUAAGGGUGUUACAAAAUCCUAUAAUCCAGCGAGAAAUGUACCGGAAAGAGUAGAGGUACCAAAUAAAACUACUCAACUCCCUAGUACGAGGGGGAGAAGUACGGCUAUCUCCACGGAUACAGCUUCUAGCAAGCAAAGGAAACGGAAGACAAAAUCUUCUGAUCCAGUAAAUGCAGCUCAACCUCAUGUUGAGAAACACCCAGUGGAGGUUCAACCUUUACAUCCCACAUCAACAGUGCACUCAAUUACUGAUGCUGGGACAUCGGAAUACCCUGAUGCGACCAUCUUGGGAAAUGAUGAUGCAUCGGAAAGGGUCCACGAAAUUUCCAUCAACUAUGCAGAAACUGGAGAGUCAUUUGAUAGAAAGACUACAAUUGUCGACUCAUAUUUCUCCGCAAUGAUUGCCGAAAUCCUUGAAAAUGAUCCAGAUCCUAAGACCAUGGCAGAGUGCAAAACGCGCUCGGACUGGAACCAAUGGAAGGAUGCAAUCCAAGCAGAAAUAUCCUCGCUCACAAAAAGACAGGUAUUCUCACAAGUAAUACCUACACCUCCACAAGUAUUCCCUGUGGGAUUCAAGUGGGUUUUCGUCCGAAAGCGGAACGAGAACAAUGAGGUGGUGAGAUACAAAGCGAGGCUUGUAGCACAAGGGUUCACGCAGAGACCCGGCAUUGACUUCAAUGAAACAUACUCUCCAGUCAUGGGUGGAAUAACAUUCCGAUACUUAAUCUCUCUGGCUGUACAAAAUCGUCUGUCUAUGCAGUUGAUGGACGUAGUGACUGCAUAUCUCUAUGGGUCACUCGAUUCGGACAUAUACAUGAAGGUUCCCGACGGAAUCCCAAUACUGAAUCAAAACGCAAAUCGCAACAUGUAUUGUGUAAAGCUACAGAAAUCACUCUAUGGCUUAAAGCAGUCGGGAAGAAUGUGGUAUAACCGACUCAGCGAGUACCUUCUGCAGAAGGGCUACUCCAACAGUGAUGAUUGCCCAUGUGUCUUCAUCAAGAAAUCCCAAACGGGAUUCUGCAUCAUAUCGGUGUAUGUUGAUGAUUUAAAUAUCAUCGGCCACAAACAAGAUAUUGAUGAGGCAUGCAAACAUCUUAAGACGGAGUUCGAGUUGAAGGAUUUGGGUAAAACCAAAUUCUGCUUAGGCCUACAGCUUGAGCAUCUUUCAACUGGAAUCUUUGUGCAUCAAUCUGCAUAUGUCCAGAAAGUAUUGGAGAGAUUCAAUAUGGACAAAGCAUAUCCUUCCAAAACCCCUAUGGUUGUUCGGUCUUUGGGACUAAACACUGAUCCAUUCAGACCACAAGAUGAGGGGGAGGAAAUCCUAGGACCUCAUGUCCCAUACCUUAGUGCCGUCGGAGCACUGAUGUACCUUGCCAAUAGCACCAGGCCUGACAUCGCUUUCGCAGUGAAUUUGCUAGCAAGGCACAGUGCCGCUCCUACCAAGAGACAUUGGACAGGAGUAAAACAGAUCCUCAGAUAUGUUAAUGGCACAAGGGAUCUCGGAUUAUUCUUCCAAAGAGGAACAAAUUCCGAGAUGAUAGGAUACACCGAUGCUGGAUAUCAAUCAGACCCCCAUAAUGGCAGAUCACAAACCGGUUUCGUAUUCUUACAAAACGGAACCGCCAUAUCAUGGACAUCAUCCAAGCAAACCUUGGCAACAACGUCCACGAAUCAUUCUGAAAUAGUCGCAUUAUAUGAGGCCUCACGUGAAUGCGUUUGGCUUCGCAGAAUGAUCAACCACAUACAGCAGUCGUGUGGUCUUAAAGCUAUCAUAGCUCCAACCAUUAUCUAUGAAGAUAAUGCUGCUUGUGUUACACAGAUGGAGACAGGCUAUAUCAAGAGCAAUAUCAACAAACACAUCUCUCCAAAGUUGUUCUAUCCUCAUGAAUUACAACAAAAAGGAGAGAUUGAUAUCUUGAAAACCAAAUCAUGCGACAAUCUCGCUGAUCUAUUCACUAAGUCCCUACCAGCUUCCUCAUUUGAAAAAUGUGUCAAAGGAUGUAUGCGACGACUUAGGGAUUUACAAAGUUCAGGGGGAGAAAUCUCCUAGACAUUGGCCUGUCUACACCAUCAUAUUAUACUCUUUUCUCUCUAUGAGUUUUUCCUCACAAGGUUUCUCAUAAGGAGAUUUUAAUGAGAUAAUAUUAACACAAGAGUGUCAUAUUCCUUGUUUUCCCCACAGGGGUUUUUAAAGGAGUAUCAAAGACACAUAUUGUCCUCUAAACUACAAUAUGAGUUUUCUCCUGCAAAGGUUUUCUCAUAUUAGUUUACAAUGAGGCAAUCAUUAAGUGCUAUAACUUUCUCCUUCUUUUCCCAAGCGGUUUUAAGGAGUUUUACCAUAGCACAUAUACACACGUAUUUUUCCUCGUUUUUAUCCUACAGGAAUUUUUGGAGGAGCAAUACAAUUCAUUGAUCUCAACAAGUGAUUCGAUCAAGGGGGAGUGUUACGGAUAUUUUCCGGGGUGAUCUCAUCUCCUCGGAUUCCCUUUACGGGAGAUCUAUCCUAACUACGACUUCCUCCACGACGGCCUACGGGAUAUCACCCACGACUACGCACGUAUCCGUGGAGACCGGUUCCACCUCCGUGAUAUCACCCACGACUCAUCGUGGGCACGAGUUUACUUGGGGC